RNAcentral lists this non-coding RNA (31 nucleotides) under Mus musculus (house mouse). The record is from RNAcentral. Lineage: Eukaryota; Metazoa; Chordata; Mammalia; Rodentia; Muridae.
UGAACUGUUCAGAAACGCCUCUUUCGGCAAC